RNAcentral lists this transfer RNA (87 nucleotides) under Ectothiorhodosinus mongolicus. RNAcentral's name for it is "tRNA-Leu". It matches the Rfam family "tRNA". From Rfam's summary of the family: Transfer RNA (tRNA) molecules are approximately 80 nucleotides in length. Their secondary structure includes four short double-helical elements and three loops (D, anti-codon, and T loops). The record is from RNAcentral. Lineage: Bacteria; Pseudomonadati; Pseudomonadota; Gammaproteobacteria; Chromatiales; Ectothiorhodospiraceae. RNAcentral also lists the same sequence under 3 other names.
GCCGGGAUGGCGGAACUGGUAGACGCGCCGGACUCAAAAUCCGGUUCCCGCGAGGGAGUGCGAGUUCGAUUCUCGCUCCCGGCACCA